GGGUUGUGAGGUUAAGCGACUAAGCGUACACGGUGGAUGCCCUGGCAGUCAGAGGCGAUGAAGGACGUGCUAAUCUGCGAUAAGCGUCGGUAAGGUGAUAUGAACCGUUAUAACCGGCGAUUUCCGAAUGGGGAAACCCAGUGUGAUUCGUCACACUAUCAUUAACUGAAUCCAUAGGUUAAUGAGGCGAACCGGGGGAACUGAAACAUCUAAGUACCCCGAGGAAAAGAAAUCAACCGAGAUUCCCCCAGUAGCGGCGAGCGAACGGGGAGCAGCCCAGAGCCUGAAUCAGUGUGUGUGUUAGUGGAAGCGUCUGGAAAGGCGCGCGAUACAGGGUGACAGCCCCGUACACAAAAAUGCACAUACUGUGAGCUCGAUGAGUAGGGCGGGACACGUGGUAUCCUGUCUGAAUAUGGGGGGACCAUCCUCCAAGGCUAAAUACUCCUGACUGACCGAUAGUGAACCAGUACCGUGAGGGAAAGGCGAAAAGAACCCCGGCGAGGGGAGUGAAAAAGAACCUGAAACCGUGUACGUACAAGCAGUGGGAGCACAGAGCAAUCUGUGUGACUGCGUACCUUUUGUAUAAUGGGUCAGCGACUUAUAUUCUGUAGCAAGGUUAACCGAAUAGGGGAGCCGAAGGGAAACCGAGUCUUAACUGGGCGUUAAGUUGCAGGGUAUAGACCCGAAACCCGGUGAUCUAGCCAUGGGCAGGUUGAAGGUUGGGUAACACUAACUGGAGGACCGAACCGACUAAUGUUGAAAAAUUAGCGGAUGACUUGUGGCUGGGGGUGAAAGGCCAAUCAAACCGGGAGAUAGCUGGUUCUCCCCGAAAGCUAUUUAGGUAGCGCCUCGUGAAUUCAUCUCCGGGGGUAGAGCACUGUUUCGGCAAGGGGGUCAUCCCGACUUACCAACCCGAUGCAAACUGCGAAUACCGGAGAAUGUUAUCACGGGAGACACACGGCGGGUGCUAACGUCCGUCGUGAAGAGGGAAACAACCCAGACCGCCAGCUAAGGUCCCAAAGUCAUGGUUAAGUGGGAAACGAUGUGGGAAGGCCCAGACAGCCAGGAUGUUGGCUUAGAAGCAGCCAUCAUUUAAAGAAAGCGUAAUAGCUCACUGGUCGAGUCGGCCUGCGCGGAAGAUGUAACGGGGCUAAACCAUGCACCGAAGCUGCGGCAGCGACGCUGAUGCGUUGUUGGGUAGGGGAGCGUUCUGUAAGCCUGUGAAGGUGUGCUGUGAGGCAUGCUGGAGGUAUCAGAAGUGCGAAUGCUGACAUAAGUAACGAUAAAGCGGGUGAAAAGCCCGCUCGCCGGAAGACCAAGGGUUCCUGUCCAACGUUAAUCGGGGCAGGGUGAGUCGACCCCUAAGGCGAGGCCGAAAGGCGUAGUCGAUGGGAAACAGGUUAAUAUUCCUGUACUUGGUGUUACUGCGAAGGGGGGACGGAGAAGGCUAUGUUGGCCGGGCGACGGUUGUCCCGGUUUAAGCGUGUAGGCUGGUUUUCCAGGCAAAUCCGGAAAAUCAAGGCUGAGGCGUGAUGACGAGGCACUACGGUGCUGAAGCAACAAAUGCCCUGCUUCCAGGAAAAGCCUCUAAGCAUCAGGUAACAUCAAAUCGUACCCCAAACCGACACAGGUGGUCAGGUAGAGAAUACCAAGGCGCUUGAGAGAACUCGGGUGAAGGAACUAGGCAAAAUGGUGCCGUAACUUCGGGAGAAGGCACGCUGAUAUGUAGGUGAAGUCCCUCGCGGAUGGAGCUGAAAUCAGUCGAAGAUACCAGCUGGCUGCAACUGUUUAUUAAAAACACAGCACUGUGCAAACACGAAAGUGGACGUAUACGGUGUGACGCCUGCCCGGUGCCGGAAGGUUAAUUGAUGGGGUUAGCGCAAGCGAAGCUCUUGAUCGAAGCCCCGGUAAACGGCGGCCGUAACUAUAACGGUCCUAAGGUAGCGAAAUUCCUUGUCGGGUAAGUUCCGACCUGCACGAAUGGCGUAAUGAUGGCCAGGCUGUCUCCACCCGAGACUCAGUGAAAUUGAACUCGCUGUGAAGAUGCAGUGUACCCGCGGCAAGACGGAAAGACCCCGUGAACCUUUACUAUAGCUUGACACUGAACAUUGAGCCUUGAUGUGUAGGAUAGGUGGGAGGCUUUGAAGUGUGGACGCCAGUCUGCAUGGAGCCGACCUUGAAAUACCACCCUUUAAUGUUUGAUGUUCUAACGUUGACCCGUAAUCCGGGUUGCGGACAGUGUCUGGUGGGUAGUUUGACUGGGGCGGUCUCCUCCUAAAGAGUAACGGAGGAGCACGAAGGUUGGCUAAUCCUGGUCGGACAUCAGGAGGUUAGUGCAAUGGCAUAAGCCAGCUUGACUGCGAGCGUGACGGCGCGAGCAGGUGCGAAAGCAGGUCAUAGUGAUCCGGUGGUUCUGAAUGGAAGGGCCAUCGCUCAACGGAUAAAAGGUACUCCGGGGAUAACAGGCUGAUACCGCCCAAGAGUUCAUAUCGACGGCGGUGUUUGGCACCUCGAUGUCGGCUCAUCACAUCCUGGGGCUGAAGUAGGUCCCAAGGGUAUGGCUGUUCGCCAUUUAAAGUGGUACGCGAGCUGGGUUUAGAACGUCGUGAGACAGUUCGGUCCCUAUCUGCCGUGGGCGCUGGAGAACUGAGGGGGGCUGCUCCUAGUACGAGAGGACCGGAGUGGACGCAUCACUGGUGUUCGGGUUGUCAUGCCAAUGGCACUGCCCGGUAGCUAAAUGCGGAAGAGAUAAGUGCUGAAAGCAUCUAAGCACGAAACUUGCCCCGAGAUGAGUUCUCCCUGACUCCUUGAGAGUCCUGAAGGAACGUUGAAGACGACGACGUUGAUAGGCCGGGUGUGUAAGCGCAGCGAUGCGUUGAGCUAACCGGUACUAAUGAACCGUGAGGCUUAACCUUACAACGCCGAAGGUGUUU
RNAcentral lists this ribosomal RNA (2933 nucleotides) under Escherichia coli. RNAcentral describes it as "bacterial LSU rRNA". It matches the Rfam family "Bacterial large subunit ribosomal RNA". The record is from RNAcentral. Lineage: Bacteria; Pseudomonadati; Pseudomonadota; Gammaproteobacteria; Enterobacterales; Enterobacteriaceae.